This 511-nucleotide ribosomal RNA is filed under the name uncultured bacterium. RNAcentral describes it as "bacterial SSU rRNA". It matches the Rfam family "Bacterial small subunit ribosomal RNA", at positions 975 to 1482 of the family's 1533-position model. The record is from RNAcentral.
CCAGGCUUGAACAGCGAGUGACCACUCCCGAAAGGGAGCUUCCGCAAGGACACUCGUAGAGGUGCUGCAUGGCUGUCGUCAGCUCGUGUCGUGAGAUGUUGGGUUAAGUCCCGCAACGAGCGCAACCCUUGUCUUCUGUUGCCAUCAGGUUAUGCUGGGCACUCUGGAGAGACUGCCGGUGAUAAACCGGGGGAAGGUGGGGAUGACGUCAAGUCAGCAUGGCCUUUAUGUCUGGGGCUACACACGUGCUACAAUGGCCGGCACAAACCGUCGCGAGCCCGCAAGGGGGAGCUAAUCGGAGAAAGUCGGUCUCAGUUCGGAUCGUCGGCUGCAACUCGCCGGCGUGAAGUUGGAAUCGCUAGUAAUCGCGGAUCAGCACGCCGCGGUGAAUACGUUUCCCGGGCCUUGUACACACCGCCCGUUCACAUCACGAAAGCCGGUUGUACUAGAAGCCGCCAUAUCACCCCGUCAAGGGAGAGAGGCGUCUAAGGUAUGGUCGGUGAUUGGGGUG